CGGGGAUUCUACUUUUGGUGAAG
RNAcentral lists this microRNA (23 nucleotides) under Ascaris suum (pig roundworm). RNAcentral's name for it is "asu-miR-36c-5p". Its record names the gene asu-miR-36c-5p. Lineage: Eukaryota; Metazoa; Nematoda; Chromadorea; Rhabditida; Ascarididae. The record is from miRBase by way of RNAcentral.